UCACCUUCAGCACAAGAAGUCACAGGGGCCAGGGGCCUGGCUGCUCCGCCCCUGGCCAGGUUCUGGAGCUGUGUCCACUCUCAGGGCUUAUCACUGGGUCCAGUUCCUCCAUGAGACAGAGGGAUGGAAUAUAACAGCGCUCACCUCCCAGGGACUCGGGGAGAAGGAGGAUCAGGCACUCAGCAUCCGGCAGGCCAGCUCUGCACUCAAGUGGCCUCUUCCUGCCAAAUCCGCUCAGCGCAGAUGACCCCAUGGGUAUGGGACCCCAGCUGGCCUCCUCCCGGCAUGCAGAGACCCUCCCUCACGCCGGAGCCCUGCCUGCCCCUCCUCAGGUUCUUCCCGGCUCCAGUACUUCGGCGUCCCCAGCUCCUUCUGCCCAGGGCUUCCUCAUCCUCCAGGCAAGCCUUGGUCCUUCCUGACCAAGUUCCCCUUCUGUCCGGCCUCCCACUCUAGGACACCGCCGAAGAGCUGAAGACAGGACCCAGGACUGCCCACUCGCUCUGUGCUCUGGGGCUCACUGCACCCCUCCUCCUGGUGCUGGAGAAGGACCCUCGGUGGGUGAGACUUUCACUCAGCUAGCUGUGUGGCCUCGGGCCUGGGGCUACUUGCAACCCGCUCUCGUCAAUUUUGAAACAUGCACUCCAUACUCUCUGGGUUUCUGAGCCAUCACGCGGUCGAGCCGUUCCCUCACUGACUACAGCGAGCCCUGGGCCUCCUGAGCACCACCAGGGCUGGCUGGGGGCCACCACACUCCUUGCCCGUCUGGCUUCGCCCUGCCCCAUCGGCAGGAUGGGUCCUGGCACGCUCCAUGCCACCAUCCGGGGCUGCCUGCCGUUGACUGCAUCUCUGGUCUCUCUCCUUUAAAGGAGUCCAAUCAGCGUAGCUGCUUGGCAUGAGGUUCCCUGGCUAAUGUAUGCCCCGCGCAGCCUGGCUCCAGGCACGGAAGAUUCCAGAUAGGCUUUUAACAAUGCAGACCUCGGCUCACAGUGGCGCAGCUCAUGGUGGCUGACCCUGGGCAGCAGCUGGUGUGUCCACCGCGGGUGGCAGGUGGAGCACUGCUCUGCUGUAAAGAAGGACAAACUCGAGUCCCUGCAGGGAACCGGGUGCGGCCUGAGACUGCCAUGUUAAGGGAAUUAAA
Molecule: long non-coding RNA, 1138 nt
Organism: Cavia porcellus (domestic guinea pig)
Lineage: Eukaryota; Metazoa; Chordata; Mammalia; Rodentia; Caviidae
Exons: 4
Source: RefSeq, a predicted model, not a curated record